UGACUCGAGUGUUGCUAUUCCCGGAAGACCGAAGCCGGGGCCACGAAAUGACUCGAGUGUUGCCAUUCCCGGAAAACCGAAGCCGGGGCCACGAAAUGACUCGAGUGUAGCCAUUCCUGGAAGACCGAAGCCGGGGAGAGAACACGCCAA
Molecule: long non-coding RNA, 150 nt
Organism: Dermacentor silvarum
Lineage: Eukaryota; Metazoa; Arthropoda; Arachnida; Ixodida; Ixodidae
Exons: 4
Source: RefSeq, a predicted model, not a curated record